AGAGUUUGAUCCUGGCUCAGAACGAACGCUGGCGGCGUGCCUAACACAUGCAAGUCGAACGUGAUCCAGAGCUUGCUCUGGUGAAAGUGGCGCACGGGUGAGUAACGCGUGGAUAACCUACCCUGGUAUCCGGGAUAACAUUCCGAAAGGGGUGCUAAUACCGGAUAAGCCCACGGGCUCUUUGGAGCUUGCGGGAAAAGGUGGCCUCUAUUUAUAAGCUACUGUAUCAGGAUGGGUCCGCGUACCAUUAGCUAGUUGGUGAGGUAACGGCUCACCAAGGCUUCGAUGUUUAACUGGUCUGAGAGGAUGAUCAGCCACACUGGAACUGAGACACGGUCCAGACUCCUACGGGAGGCAGCAGUAGGGAAUAUUGCGCAAUGGGGGAAACCCUGACGCAGCCACGCCGCGUGAGUGAUGAAGGCCUUUGGGUCGUAAAGCGCUGUCGUAAGGGAAGAAAUGAUAUAGUGCCAAUAGGCCUUAUGUUUGAUGGUACAUUCAAAGGAAGCCCCGGCUAACUUCGUGCCAGCAGCCGCGGUAAUACGAAGGGGGCGAGCGUUGUUCGGAAUUACUGGGCGUAAAGAGCGUGUAGGCGGUCUAAUUAGUCAGCUGUGAAAUCCCGGGGCUCAACCCCGGAACUGCAGUUGAUACUGUUAGGCUUGAGUGCGGAAGAGGUGAGUGGAAUUCCUAGUGUAGAGGUGAAAUUCGUAGAUAUUAGGAGGCACACCAGUGGCGAAGGCGGCUCACUGGUCCGUAACUGACGCUGAGACGCGAAAGCGUGGGGAUCAAACAGGAUUAGAUACCCUUGUAGUCCACGCCGUAAACGAUGAGUACCAGCUGUAUAAUAUAAAGUUACCUGCUGUGGCGCAGUUAACACGUUGAGUACUCCGCCUGGGAAGUACGGUCGCAAGACUAAAACUCAAAGGAAUUGACGGGGGCCCGCACAAGCGGUGGAGCAUGUGGUUUAAUUCGACGCAACGCGCAGAACCUUACCUGGGUUUGACAUCCUUGGCCCGCUUUAGAGAUAAAGUUUUCCCUUCGGGGACCAAGUGACAGGUGCUGCAUGACUGUCGUCAGCUCGUGUCGUGAGAUGUUGGGUUAAGUCCCGCAACGAGCGCAACCCCCACCAUUAGUUGCCAUCAUUUAGUUGGGCACUUUAAUGGGACUGCCGGCGUUAAGCCGGAGGAAGGUAGGGAUGACGUCAAGUCCUCAUGGCCCUUAUAUCCGGGGCUACACACGUGCUACAAUGGCAACUACAAAGAGCAGCUAAACCGCGAGGUCAUGCGAAUCUCAUAAAGCCGGCCUCAGUUCGGAUUGGAGUCUGCAACUCGACUCCAUGAAGUUGGAAUCGCUAGUAAUCGCGGAUCGGCAUGCCGCGGUGAAUACGUUCCCGGGCCUUGUACACACCGCCCGUCACACCACGGGAGUCGGUUGGUCCCGAAGUGCGUGAGCUAACCCCUCGGGGAGGCAGCGUCCUAAGGAAUGGCCGGUGACUGGGGUGAAGUCGUCCCAAGGUAGCCGUA
Molecule: ribosomal RNA, 1520 nt
Filed under: uncultured prokaryote
Description: partial 16S ribosomal RNA
Rfam family: Bacterial small subunit ribosomal RNA
Source: RNAcentral